CCUUUCUCUCUCCUCUGUUCCAGUCAGCUCCCCUGCAAGUCUUGCGAGAGCCGCGGGAUCAGAGACCCGUGGCAACGCUCCGCACGGCAGUGGAGCUGACAGGGGAGCUGACCGGAGCAGCGGAGAGAGAAGGGA
Pelobates cultripes (western spadefoot toad) is the source of this 135-nucleotide non-coding RNA. Lineage: Eukaryota; Metazoa; Chordata; Amphibia; Anura; Pelobatidae. The record is from the annotation of a GenBank genome assembly.